Non-coding RNA from Nicotiana tabacum (common tobacco), 546 nucleotides. The record is from RefSeq and is a predicted model, not a curated record. Lineage: Eukaryota; Viridiplantae; Streptophyta; Magnoliopsida; Solanales; Solanaceae.
GUGAAGUGCCCUCUUCUUUCUCCUUCUUCCUCACCCCUCGUCCCUUUCUUCUUCACAAAUCGUGUAGUAACCUAUUGAAGCUUUAAUCCAACUCGAAACCACUCAAAUCCUUCAUCAAAUUUCCCCAAAUUUUAGAUACACACUCCAUAAAUUGCACCCAACAAAAUCCAGCAACACCCAGUUUAAAAGUCUUCAAACACAAGUCUCUCUCUCUCUAUGUCUCUCUUCUAGGGUUUCAAAAUCGAUCUCAAUUGGACUCCAAAAAACUCAAAAAUUCAAUAUGGCGCAAAUAGAAGCGGUUUUGAACGUAGAGAGGAAGAUGAGGCAAGUUGGAGAUGUCGCCGGAACUAGGAAAAUGGCAACAAAUAUUCUUCAGUUUGCUUCAAAGCUUGCGCUUGGAAUACCCAAAAUGUCAUUAAAAUUAUUUAUUUGUCAGUUUAUUGUAUAAGUUUGUUUAAGCAAAAUUAUAUUUUUGUUUGUAAAAGACUUUGUCAAGUAUACUACGAAGAAUGGCAUGGAUCGGUAGGAAAUACCAUUUUGGCACAA